AGUGAACGCUGGCGGUAGACCUAACACAUGCAAGUCGAACGGCAGCACAGUAAGAGCUUGCUCUUACGGGUGGCGAGUGGCGGACGGGUGAGGAAUACAUCGGAAUCUACUUUUUCGUGGGGGAUAACGUAGGGAAACUUACGCUAAUACCGCAUACGACCUACGGGUGAAAGCAGGGGAUCUUCGGACCUUGCGCGAUUGAAUGAGCCGAUGUCGGAUUAGCUAGCUGGCGGGGUAAAGGCCCACCAAGGCGACGAUCCGUAGCUGGUCUGAGAGGAUGAUCAGCCACGCUGGAACUGAGACACGGUCCAGACUCCUACGGGAGGCAGCAGUGGGGAAUAUUGGACAAUGGGCGCAAGCCUGAUCCAGCCAUACCGCGUGGGUGAAGAAGGCCUUCGGGUUGUAAAGCCCUUUUGUUGGGAAAGAAAAGCAGCAGGUUAAUACCCCGCUGUUCUGACGGUACCCAAAGAAUAAGCACCGGCUAACUUCGUG
Molecule: ribosomal RNA, 492 nt
Filed under: uncultured bacterium
Lineage: Bacteria
Description: partial 16S ribosomal RNA
Rfam family: Bacterial small subunit ribosomal RNA
Source: RNAcentral